CCGCCGCCCUCUCCGCCGCUAAUUGGGCCCCUGAAACUGCCGCCGGCUCGGUAAUUGUGCCGUUGUGUCUGAAUUUGCACUUCACUGCUUCACCCCCCCGCGAUUGGAAUUCAUACGGGGGGCUCGGGGGGGGGGUCCGCAGCGUCCCGCUCCAUCUCCGCGUGAGGGGACUGUGGUUUUGAUGCAAAUAGCUUUUAGUUUGCUUCCUGUCUCCGUCUUUUCCCUCUCACCAAUAAUUGAUGGGGAGUUUAGGGAGAGCGCGAGCAGCGUGGUGAAAUAAGAAAAGGGUGAAGUGAUAUUACCAUAAGUGAGCCGGGUACUUCUUCAGUCUCUAACUGUCAAACUGCAAGAAAACAGUGGAAAGACAACAAAGACAAGCAAAGUUUGUUCCUGAGUAAUUAGCGAGGUAAAAUUAGCCCGUCGGUGGAGUCUUGCCGCUUUGAAGCGGCGCCAUUUCCUUUUCACAUCUAAAUCGCGUGUCAAAUUUUCAUCGCUGCCGUUCGGCGACGGCGCUUUUGUUUCACUCAAGGCGGAUCUGGUCGCUCGUGUGCCAAAGCGAACCUUUUGACUGGUUAAUGGCGAAUGAGAUGCAUCAACGCGGCGCUAAUUAUCGAUGACAGACAUAUUCUGCUGUCUCUCUCUCUCCGAUAACGCCACCACCCACUGUGUGUGCACACGGGCAGCCGGAGCCGCAUUCCAACACUUCUGCUCACACGAUUUUAGCCGAGCGCCGGCGUUGCCUCUGGAUUUUGGCCUCUUCACUUGUUGGCAAAUAAAGCAGCGCAUUGUUAACGUUUCCUUCCUCUGUCACUUGUUUUUCCUUUUCUUUCUUUCACGGCGCGUGAUUCACACGCCUCCAUUGCAACAUUUGUGCCUCCAUGUUUCCAUCUAAUUACUUCGGGCACGAAACCGAAUUGGCUUCACUCAUGGAACAUUGUGUGGUUGUUGCUUUUUUAAAAAAAGGUACUAAGCCAAGAUCAUGAAUCCGCUGACCUGAAACCUCCACUGAGAGGUACGACUCACCGCACUACACUUCCCUUUGACCUUUUCAAUACAAUACUUUAAAUCCCUUUAAUAUUGCUAAGCCAAUAUUUUUGCAGCCUGUAUUAGUAUUAGUUCACUUUUAUAAGUGAAUAAAACUGUUUGAGCAUUUCCAAUUGAGUUACUGUCAAAAGCAUUUGGUUUGGUAUCAACAUCCCAACUUCCUGUCAAUGGGUAAGAAACAACCCACAUAUCAAAUAAAGUCUGAUCCCCCCCCAAAAAAAAUCUUUUAAUGAGACCAAAUCCUUUUAACUCAUAGCCUAACUGCCAGUGUUAUGAAUACAAUCGUGUGUGUGUGUGUGUGUGUGUGUGUGUGUGUGUGUGUAGGGGGCUCACAGCAGUACAACAGGAAGAGCAGCAGUUUCCUCAGGAGGACGAAUCACAUCAAAGACAUCAAAAAACAUGCAGAGUCGACAUCAGACCGAGUGAGGAUCACCUCACAAGAACCAACCACACGCUCACGUCCUCAGAUUCUAUUAAAGCUGAACUGCAAUUGAACUGUAAAUUAAGAAAUCUUUGUGUCUGAUAUAUUGCACCUGACAGACUUUUUACUUUUACUGCUCCAAGCAAUGGCUCAAAUCUCCAACGCCCACUCUAAUUUAAACGAGUUUUAAAUUCACAUUUUAUAUCCCAGGUUUCCAGGAUGGGAAUCUUCAUUAAUAACAGGCUAUUUAAUUUCCCAUCAAAGGUACGAGUCCCGUAGAGCUAAAACAAUUUAUCGUGAGAGGGGAUGUCCAAAAUGAUCCCAAAAGGCAUCCGUUAACCUUAACGCGUGAAGCCUCCAUCGUGCCGGGGGAAGCCGAUCAUAAUCAAUCCGCUGGGCUUUAAAAGUCACACCGGCGCCGGCCCGCAGUCCACGCAGCGUCACAUGGUUCCGCAGCAGGAAGUAUCCUGCUGCUGGAAACAAAUGAAGAGACAGUGAUUCUUGCUUGCUUGCUUUUACCGUGUAAAAGUACCGUGUUUUGCUCAUCAGGCAGAACAACAAACCUGAGGCAACAACUACACGCUAUAAAAUAAAUUACCUCCAUAUAAGUUUUUAGGGCUUCCGGUCAAGGGGAAAUGCGCGCCUUUCAAAUCUGCCUUUGGCCUGAAUAUCUCCAGUGCACAGAGAGCAUCUCUCACUCCAGCUCCUCUCGGCUGGAUACAAGACGGAGGUCGAGGGCGGACGCGCCGCGUGACUGAAAGCUGCAGAAUGCCAGUUUUGGUCUUUGUGCGCGGGCGGAUGGAGGUGAGGACUGACCUUGUUUUCACCUGUUUUUAAUGACCAGGCGUUCAUCCAGGAGGGCCGGCUGUGUGUUUGCUGCUUCCUCUGAUGUCAGGAAGGACAUUCGCUGAAUGGGGCAGGGUUAGGAUUAGGUAAGAAGCGUUAGGGGUUAGGGUUGGGGGUUAUGUAAGAAGCGUUACGUUUAUGUAAGAAGCGUUACGGUUAGGGGUUAGGGUAAGGUAAGAAGCGUUAGGGUUAGGGGUUAUGUAAGAAGGGUUAGGGUUAGGGGUUAUGUAAGAAGCGUUAGGGUUAGUGGUUAUGUAAGAAGCGUUAGGGUUAGGGGUUAUGUAAGAAGCGUUAGGGUUAGGUAAGAAGCGUUAGAGUUAGGGUUAGGGGUUAGGGUUAGGGUUAGUGUUGUAAUUAUUCUAACCGCAAUCUGUUUUAGUCAAAAUAACCUGGCACCUGUAUAAAUGUAUUGCCGAGCUUUGCUAACAAAGACAUUGCUUAAACAAGGACAUUUGAGAAAGGAGGGUAACCGGCCGACAAUUAGAGGUUAUUUUCAAGACCGUUGCCUUUGACAUCCUUCUGUAAACGUUGUCAAAAUCCAGAAUAGACCGAAACCUACAGCUCAGAAUCACACCUGUCUUCACCACUUAACCUUUUGAUGAAUAACUCCAACACAAAAAACCCGCCUGACAAGCGUUACUGCGUUGCCAUUCUAUCCAGUGAGAAAAGGCUAAAUCACAACUAAUCCCGUGUUCUUAAGAGCCUCACGACACCUCAAUUAUCCAUUACCCAUCAGCCCGUGUUUACACCGUCUCCCGCUGCACACGCACACCGCACGCUGACACCUGACGGUCAUCUGUGACUCACAAGGACAAAGGAGGAAGAUGAGUGUCCCGUGGAGAGGCGGGUGGGAGGGUUGAACUAAUGAGCGAGGCCAUUGUGGAGGAUAACAAAGCCGUCACGCUCGGCGAGAUCACAGCGAACUGCUCGUCCGCGCGCUCUCACGAAGGCCAUCCGCUGCUCGUCACACGCCCCCCGAGUGCUGACAGGUUCGGGGGCCCCUCGGCGUGUCGGCUCCCCUCCUCGGAGCGCAAAAACACCAAGGCUGCAAUUAAAGGAGGCAUUCAAAAAAAUGGCCGCACUCCGUCUGGACACAAUUAGAAAAAAAAAAAAAAAGAGCUUCUCUUCCUUUGUAAUUUUUCUUUUUGAAAGCAGAUGAUGCCGUGCUGCCAUGCUUUCAUGAACAAACCACACACACACAUGAUCAAACACAUUUUUGCUCAACGGGCUAACACACACACACACACACACACACACACACAUGCUGUUGUUGUUUUAACAGCAUCACAGGAACAACCGACGACAGUAAGAACGGGCGGUGAAAACACUUCAAGAAAAACGAGAGAUACCUGAAACAUGUGCAUGCAGCAUCUUCCACCUUCUUUCUGAUCAUCAAAAAAUACAAUCAGAAACAUUUUUUAAGUUUACCGUUUGUGUGAUUGUCAUAUAUGUGAGACACAAUGCGUGAAAAUGUGAAUUAUCCAUUUCAACCCUUUUUGACAUACCUGCAACAUCAAUGUGAACUGUUUCUUCUCCUCCAGGAGCGGCCUCCUUGUUAGUCAGGUCCAGAAUGAGGAAGAAGAAGCAAUGUGAGAUUAGUGCAUCAUCAGUAUUUCUGUAUAUCUUAGACAAUCAUUACCAUCGACAUCGGGAGAUACAUUUAGGGUAUAAGUGCGACGCUGUUUACUUCAAAAGGCAAAGACCCCAUAACAGUGUCGGCGAGCUUAUUAAUGCGACAUUGACGUCACGCGGAGGGAUAAAAUUAGCCAUUUUCCAGCUUAUAAAACCAACAUCCAAGUCGUAAACCCUGACCAGCUGAUGUGUUUUUCCAAAAAGUUGUGACAUACACAACUUGGGUUCCAGUAUAUUGGAAAUUUUGUGUAGGAAACAAACGUGUAUUGCUUGUGUCGGGCCAAAAGAACCAUUUCUAGAUCAAUUUAAAUAGCUCAUUUCUGGAAAACGUUUCGGUUCUGUUUCUGGUCCUCUUUGCCUCCAGUGCACAUCUCACGCGCACGCCGCUGCUCUGCGGCCGUGACACUGACGUCCGGGUGCUAUAAUUAGCAUUUCUUUUGGGGUGAACGGCAUUGCACUUGGCUUUGACGCAGCUGCAGGAGACGGCGGUGACAUUAAACGGGGACGCGAUGAGUUGAAAGCAAUUAAGUCCGAGGUCAAAGGUUAAGAUCAGAGGGCGUGUCGCUUAAAAUGCCACUUCGAAAGCACCUCUUUGCAAAGGCUGCAAGGACACGUUAGAAGGAUUGUUAAAGUCGCACUGACACAUCAGAGAAAAACAGCAUUAAAAGUCAGAUCAAUUUACAGUAAGUUGUUACAGUUGUAGUAGAUUUUCUCCUCUAGCUGAAGUCUGUAUUUAUUGAGUCCAGCAUGUCACUACAUUUCACCCCAGAGAAAUCUAAUAACCUGUAUAUAUAUAUAUAUAUAUAUAUAUAUAUAUAUAU
Long non-coding RNA from Gasterosteus aculeatus aculeatus (three-spined stickleback), 4764 nucleotides. Lineage: Eukaryota; Metazoa; Chordata; Actinopteri; Perciformes; Gasterosteidae. The record is from Ensembl.